Molecule: long non-coding RNA, 2008 nt
Organism: Capsicum annuum
Lineage: Eukaryota; Viridiplantae; Streptophyta; Magnoliopsida; Solanales; Solanaceae
Exons: 3
Source: RefSeq, a predicted model, not a curated record
ACUAGGCGCUCCUUUGGAUGCCCCACCUUGUCUUUAAAAAUUCCAAAUCCGAUGGUGCCCUCAUCCCGUAUUAGAGCUGCGUUCAACGCGUCCUUAUCUGGCUAUCCAGGUUGUUUCAUUUCCACCUCAAUUUCAGCAAACAAAUGGGAUUCGAAUCCUUUUCUUCUUAAGAUGAGAAAAACUUGAGCUUUCGAAGCUCCUUUGGUUAAAAAUUAUACUGUGUAUAUUAUUAAAGUUUGUUUUUAUGUAUAUGUAUUAGAUGUUGAAUCUCUUGUUGCGCAUUUGCUUAUUCAUAUUGUUGAAUCCCUUUAUGAAAAUAUCAUUUUAUUUAAGCUGAGGGUCAUUGGAAACAACUUUCUAUUUAUACAAGCAAGGUAGGGGUAAGGUUAAGGUUAGAAUUCACUUGUAGAAUUACACUGGGUAUGUAAUUGGUUAUGACUGGGAGAUCACGGGUUUAAGUUUUAGAAACAACACAGAAAUGAAAGGUGAAUCUGUGUACAAUAAUCUAUCUUUGUGGUCAGACUCUGUGUAUAGCGGGAGCUUUUUUUAAUGUUAUUGUUUAUGAACAUCCUGGUUCCGCCAUUGGGCUCUUGUACUUUGUGCAAAAAAAGAUUGGGGGAGAUCGGAGGACGAUAAUUAGUUUUGACGUGAAUUCACUUGUUGAUUUCUUAUUUCAAGACAUUUUUGAAUCUAGGACUCUCCUAAUCUCAACAGGUUUGAUGUUUUUCCCAGUCCAAGAUUCAAACUUUCUGAAACUUUAACCAAUAAGUUGGGUAGAGAAGUUGUUUCCGAUAGAUCCUACCAUUGUGCAAAGGCGGAGCCAGGAUUUGUGAUGAGGUUUUUCAAAAUUUAAAGAAAAACUAAUUGAAGGGGAUUCAACAUCUACAGUGUUUAAUCAUAUAAUUUUCUGCUUCGGCGGGUUUGGAUGAACCCCUUGUUAAAGGUUGGCUCCACCCAUGCCUUUGUGUGUGUAGGACGUAGGAGGGUAUAGAGGCUGUUUUCGAAAGACCCUCGGCUCAAAAGAAAGGUAAUUAUAGCAGGAUAGAAAGGAAAAUAACAACAACAAAAAUAGUAAGAUAAACAAAGCAAAUGAAGCAGCAUAUAGUAGUAGUAAAAGGGCAGGAUUGAAAUGCAUCUUUUUUCACUAAUUCCUGAAUGUUAACAAUGUUGAAUCUUGGGAUUGCAGUAAUAAGAGUGUGAUAUUUGUUUUUUGGUGAUUGUAUAUUUGGAGCUGAAGAUUCUUUCAGCUGCUGAUCCCUCAGUGAGUGGAAUAAAUACUGGCGAUGAAGAAGAUUGGGUGCCAUUGCACUCUGCAGCAAGCAGUGGUAAUGUGGAAAUUGUGGAGAUUUUGCUCAACAGAGGAUAAGACUGCUUUUGCUGAUGUAUUGAGGAAGAUCUCCAAGAUACAGAAGACUUCUUCAGGAAGUAGCUGUGUCGUGUUACGAGAGAGGACAAACCAAGACACAAAUAUAUGCUAAAAAAAAUAGUACAUAAAGAAUAGUAGCUAAACAAUGCUAACAAAAGCAGAACAGCAACAGAGUCCUUAUAGGAUACACACACGAGACUAAAAGUAACAAAAACAUAUUGCUGAUAUUAGGAUAACCUUGUUUCAUCUUGCAAAACUGCACUUCAACUUGAUAUUGGAGAAAUAGAAGAACGGCUAGAUGGAUUGGCACAAACUGAGUACAAGAUAUUUCAAGUUAACGCUCAACAAAUCAAUAUCUUUAAACUGUACAUCUUCUUCGUCACCACUAUUUAUACCACUCGCCGAGGGAUCCGCAGCUGCAAGAAUCUUUACCACCUAAUAUACAAUCACCAAAAUGUGAUUCAACAUUGUAAACAUCACAUUCAGGAAUUAGAUAAAAAUGUACUCUCUCCCCCCAAUUCGUUUUACUCCAUUUCUACUUUGAGAAUCAAACAUACAAUUUCUCUUACUAUGACUUUUCAAAUGUCAAAAAAACAAAAUUUGAUUUAUAUGAGUCCCCCUUAUAACCAAAAUAUUUUUUCC